Molecule: transfer RNA, 74 nt
Filed under: bacterium
Lineage: Bacteria
Description: tRNA-Gly
Rfam family: tRNA
About the family: Transfer RNA (tRNA) molecules are approximately 80 nucleotides in length. Their secondary structure includes four short double-helical elements and three loops (D, anti-codon, and T loops).
Source: RNAcentral
GCGGGCUUGGCGUAGAGGUAACGUGCCUGGCUUCCACCCAGGAGUCACGAGUUCGAUUCUCGUAGCCCGCACCA